GGUGAACGCUGGCGGCGUGCUUAACACAUGCAAGUCGAACGGCAAGGCUCCUGCUUGCAGGGGUACUCGAGUGGCGAACGGGUGAGUAACACGUGGGUGUUCUGCCCUGCACUUCGGAAUAAGCCUGGGUAACUGGGUCUAAUCCCGGAUAGGACGAUGGUUUGGAUGCCAUUGUGGAAAGCUUUUUCGGUGUGGGAUGAGCGCGCGGCCUAUCAGCUUUUUGGUGGGGUAAUGGCCUACCGAGGCGUCGGCGGGUAGCCGGCCUGAGAGCGUGUACGGCCACAUUGGGACUGAGAUACGGCCCAGACUGCUACGGGAGGCAGCAGUGGGAAAUAUGGCACAAUGAGCGCAAGCCUGAUGCAGCGACGCUGGGUGGGGGAUGACGGCCUGCUGGUAGUAAAAACCUUUCGCUAGGGACGAAGCGAAAGUGACGGUACCUGGAGAAGAAGCACCGGCUAACUACGUG
RNAcentral lists this ribosomal RNA (466 nucleotides) under uncultured bacterium. Its description in RNAcentral is "partial 16S ribosomal RNA". It matches the Rfam family "Bacterial small subunit ribosomal RNA", at positions 28 to 507 of the family's 1533-position model. The record is from RNAcentral.